Molecule: long non-coding RNA, 336 nt
Organism: Eleginops maclovinus (Patagonian blennie)
Lineage: Eukaryota; Metazoa; Chordata; Actinopteri; Perciformes; Eleginopidae
Exons: 3
Source: RefSeq, a predicted model, not a curated record
GAUUUACAGAUUACUAUUGUGAACCUGGUUACCCAGGGGACCCGGGUGAUAGAGGCCCUAAUGGACCCCAUGGAAACAAAGGACUCAAAGGAAUUAAAGGUUGUCUAGGGGAAUGUAACUGUAGGUCUGAAGGAGGAAGAGAAGGUCCCCCUGGUCCAACUGGACCAACUGGUUCUAAAGGUUCUCCAGGGUUUCCUGGAACUCAAGGACUUAAGGGAGACCCUGGGCUAAAAGGACAUGAUGGUCCAAGAGGACCAGAAGGCUUUCCAGGUAUUCAUGGUAUUAAAGGACACAAGGGUCAAAAAGGUCACUCUUUUGAGUCAGACGUUAAAGGUG